RNAcentral lists this small nucleolar RNA (68 nucleotides) under Arabidopsis thaliana (thale cress). Lineage: Eukaryota; Viridiplantae; Streptophyta; Magnoliopsida; Brassicales; Brassicaceae. The record is from RNAcentral.
GAAAGGCAUCAAGUGAUGAUUGAUAACGCAUAGUUCAGAUGAUAAAUUCUAUUAUGAUUAACAUCUUC